This 72-nucleotide transfer RNA is filed under the name Cricetulus griseus (Chinese hamster). It matches the Rfam family "tRNA". Rfam says of the family: Transfer RNA (tRNA) molecules are approximately 80 nucleotides in length. Their secondary structure includes four short double-helical elements and three loops (D, anti-codon, and T loops). The record is from Rfam by way of RNAcentral. Lineage: Eukaryota; Metazoa; Chordata; Mammalia; Rodentia; Cricetidae.
GGGUUUGCAGCUCAGUGGGUAGAGUGCUUGCUUAGCAUGCAUGAAGCCCUGGGUUCCAGCCCCAGCAGCUCA